This 254-nucleotide ribosomal RNA is filed under the name uncultured bacterium. RNAcentral's name for it is "partial 16S ribosomal RNA". It matches the Rfam family "Bacterial small subunit ribosomal RNA", at positions 524 to 776 of the family's 1533-position model. The record is from RNAcentral.
UACGUAGGGGGCAAGCGUUGUCCGGAUUUAUUGGGCGUAAAGAGCUCGUAGGCGGCUCGGUAAGUCGGAUGUGAAACCUCCAGGCUCAACCUGGAGACGCCAUCUGAUACUGCCGUGGCUUGAGUCCGGUAGAGGAGCAGGGAAUUCCUGGUGUAGCGGUGAAAUGCGCAGAUAUCAGGAGGAACACCGGUGGCGAAGGCGGAUCUCUGGGCCGAUACUGACGCUGAGGAGCGAAAGCUAGGGGAGCAAACGGG